RNAcentral lists this ribosomal RNA (315 nucleotides) under Triticum aestivum (bread wheat). RNAcentral describes it as "partial small subunit ribosomal RNA". The record is from RNAcentral. Lineage: Eukaryota; Viridiplantae; Streptophyta; Magnoliopsida; Poales; Poaceae.
AUGACGGAUGACGAGAAGACCAAGCAGCUGGCGGAGUACUCCGGUGCGGCUAAAGUAUUUGCUGCUCCGGCGAGUUCGUCAUAUCCACGGUUUGAUCGUGAGAACUUCGGGGUCUGGAAGGCCCUCAUGGAGUGUGGUCUCCGCGCCAAUGAGCUAUGGGACGCGGUGGAUCCCGGAGGCGACGCAUUCAAGAAGGAGGGAGCCGAGCACCGGAAGGAUCGGCAGGCGGCGUCGGCGAUUUACUCGGUGAUGCCGAUGGAUGUCCUCCAACACCUAAUCGCCAAAGCAACGACGAAGGAGGUGUGGGAUAGCUGA